GACCAAUGUCAGGCAGUCCUUGUUGGCGGUCUGCUCGUCUCUAGGCAGGGUUGGGUCGACUUUGGCACCGUUAACGCAGUUGCUGGCACAGCCCACCAUAUUCUUCGGGAGCCUGGCGCUGGCAGCCAGCGUCCUGGUCUUCACGCUUCCAGAGACCAUCAACUGUCCUCUACCAGACACCAUCGAAGAAGCCGAGCAGUUAUCCAAAAGAAAGGUCCAACAAGAACAACCAUAGUUUAAACAGUUUCUCAUAAACGCCUUCUCAAUUUGACUUAGCUAAAUCACAGAGCGGCCAAAUGCAUAUUGAUAUUUUUGAUAACUGCAUCGUAACAAUAUUUUAUUUCAGAAUUCAGAUCAUCAUUUUGAUCGACUUUGUAUUUUUAUCACAAGAUGACAUCACAAUGAAAAGACAUUACUUACAUUAUUUGAUAUUCAUAUAGGAACGAGACGUUAACUUUUUAUAAUACCUAACUCAAAUCUUUGUAUAAUUUUGAAGCAAUUAAUUUAAGUGAUCGUAUGUUAAAAAGUUUAUUAAUAUUACCUACAUACUUCUGUAUUUUUUGCACUAUGUAUAAAUGGGCACUUAUUGAAAUAAAAUGUAUUGUGUAUAAUGUUACUUAGUUUACUUACUUUUACAUGACAUGUGAGCUACCAUAAUUACAAUCUCAAUUUUAAUGUGAUUAAACAUGAUGCCAUAAAGCACAGCACUUUGCCAUAAAAAUGUUUCUUUAAUAAUAAAAAGUGUUCAACUACGUACAAACAUGAGAGAAAGAUAUUUGAGAGAUGCUUUUACAUUUUGAGAAUAAAUCUUUUUAUUCUAAAAAA
Long non-coding RNA from Ostrinia nubilalis (European corn borer), 825 nucleotides. RefSeq lists it as uncharacterized. NCBI's taxonomy places the organism in Eukaryota, Metazoa, Arthropoda, Insecta, Lepidoptera, Crambidae. The record is from RefSeq and is a predicted model, not a curated record. The transcript is spliced from 2 exons.